RNAcentral lists this ribosomal RNA (2904 nucleotides) under Enterobacter hormaechei. RNAcentral's name for it is "23S ribosomal RNA". It matches the Rfam family "Bacterial large subunit ribosomal RNA". The record is from RNAcentral. Lineage: Bacteria; Pseudomonadati; Pseudomonadota; Gammaproteobacteria; Enterobacterales; Enterobacteriaceae.
GGUUAAGCGACUAAGCGUACACGGUGGAUGCCCUGGCAGUCAGAGGCGAUGAAGGACGUGCUAAUCUGCGAAAAGCGCCGGCGAGGUGAUAUGAACCCUUGACCCGGCGAUGUCCGAAUGGGGAAACCCAGUGUGUUCCGACACACUAUCGUUAACUGAAUACAUAGGUUAACGAGGCGAACCGGGGGAACUGAAACAUCUAAGUACCCCGAGGAAAAGAAAUCAACCGAGAUUCCCCCAGUAGCGGCGAGCGAACGGGGAGCAGCCCGGAGUCUGAAUCAGCUUGUGUGUUAGUGGAACGGUCUGGAAAGUCCGACGGUACAGGGUGAUAGUCCCGUACACGAAAACACACUUGCUGUGAACUCGAAGAGUAGGGCGGGACACGUGGUAUCCUGUCUGAAUAUGGGGGGACCAUCCUCCAAGGCUAAAUACUCCUGACUGACCGAUAGUGAACCAGUACCGUGAGGGAAAGGCGAAAAGAACCCCGGCGAGGGGAGUGAAAAAGAACCUGAAACCGUGUACGUACAAGCAGUGGGAGCACCUUCGGGUGUGACUGCGUACCUUUUGUAUAAUGGGUCAGCGACUUAUAUUCUGUAGCAAGGUUAACCGUAUAGGGGAGCCGAAGGGAAACCGAGUCUUAACUGGGCGUUAAGUUGCAGGGUAUAGACCCGAAACCCGGUGAUCUAGCCAUGGGCAGGUUGAAGGUUGGGUAACACUAACUGGAGGACCGAACCGACUAAUGUUGAAAAAUUAGCGGAUGACCUGUGGCUGGGGGUGAAAGGCCAAUCAAACCGGGAGAUAGCUGGUUCUCCCCGAAAGCUAUUUAGGUAGCGCCUCGUGAACUCAUCUUCGGGGGUAGAGCACUGUUUCGGCUAGGGGGCCAUCCCGGCUUACCAACCCGAUGCAAACUACGAAUACCGAAGAAUGUUAUCACGGGAGACACACGGCGGGUGCUAACGUCCGUCGUGAAGAGGGAAACAACCCAGACCGCCAGCUAAGGUCCCAAAGUCAUGGUUAAGUGGGAAACGAUGUGGGAAGGCACAGACAGCCAGGAUGUUGGCUUAGAAGCAGCCAUCAUUUAAAGAAAGCGUAAUAGCUCACUGGUCGAGUCGGCCUGCGCGGAAGAUGUAACGGGGCUAAACCAUGCACCGAAGCUGCGGCAGCGACGCUUAUGCGUUGUUGGGUAGGGGAGCGUUCUGUAAGCCGUUGAAGGUGUGCUGUGAGGCAUGCUGGAGGUAUCAGAAGUGCGAAUGCUGACAUAAGUAACGAUAAAGCGGGUGAAAAGCCCGCUCGCCGGAAGACCAAGGGUUCCUGUCCAACGUUAAUCGGGGCAGGGUGAGUCGACCCCUAAGGCGAGGCCGAAAGGCGUAGUCGAUGGGAAACAGGUUAAUAUUCCUGUACUUGGUGUUACUGCGAAGGGGGGACGGAGAAGGCUAUGUCAGCCGGGCGACGGUUGUCCCGGUUUAAGCAUGUAGGCGGAGGUUCCAGGUAAAUCCGGUACCUUUUAACGCUGAGGUGUGAUGACGAGGCACUACGGUGCUGAAGUGAUAAAUGCCCUGCUUCCAGGAAAAGCCUCUAAGCAUCAGGUAACACGAAAUCGUACCCCAAACCGACACAGGUGGUCAGGUAGAGAAUACCAAGGCGCUUGAGAGAACUCGGGUGAAGGAACUAGGCAAAAUGGUGCCGUAACUUCGGGAGAAGGCACGCUGAUAGGUAGGUGAAGCCCCUGCGGGCGGAGCUGAAAUCAGUCGAAGAUACCAGCUGGCUGCAACUGUUUAUUAAAAACACAGCACUGUGCAAACACGAAAGUGGACGUAUACGGUGUGACGCCUGCCCGGUGCCGGAAGGUUAAUUGAUGGGGUUAGCGGCAACGCGAAGCUCUUGAUCGAAGCCCCGGUAAACGGCGGCCGUAACUAUAACGGUCCUAAGGUAGCGAAAUUCCUUGUCGGGUAAGUUCCGACCUGCACGAAUGGCGUAAUGAUGGCCAGGCUGUCUCCACCCGAGACUCAGUGAAAUUGAACUCGCUGUGAAGAUGCAGUGUACCCGCGGCAAGACGGAAAGACCCCGUGAACCUUUACUAUAGCUUGACACUGAACACUGGUCCUUGAUGUGUAGGAUAGGUGGGAGGCUUUGAAGCGUGGACGCCAGUCUGCGUGGAGCCGCCCUUGAAAUACCACCCUUUAAUGGCUGGUGUUCUAACGUAGACCCGUGAUCCGGGUUGCGGACAGUGUCUGGUGGGUAGUUUGACUGGGGCGGUCUCCUCCCAAAGAGUAACGGAGGAGCACGAAGGUUGGCUAAUCCUGGUCGGACAUCAGGAGGUUAGUGCAAUGGCAUAAGCCAGCUUGACUGCGAGCGUGACGGCGCGAGCAGGUGCGAAAGCAGGUCAUAGUGAUCCGGUGGUUCUGAAUGGAAGGGCCAUCGCUCAACGGAUAAAAGGUACUCCGGGGAUAACAGGCUGAUACCGCCCAAGAGUUCAUAUCGACGGCGGUGUUUGGCACCUCGAUGUCGGCUCAUCACAUCCUGGGGCUGAAGUAGGUCCCAAGGGUAUGGCUGUUCGCCAUUUAAAGUGGUACGCGAGCUGGGUUUAGAACGUCGUGAGACAGUUCGGUCCCUAUCUGCCGUGGGCGCUGGAGAAUUGAGGGGGGCUGCUCCUAGUACGAGAGGACCGGAGUGGACGCAUCACUGGUGUUCGGGUUGUCAUGCCAAUGGCACUGCCCGGUAGCUAAAUGCGGAAGAGAUAAGUGCUGAAAGCAUCUAAGCACGAAACUUGCCCCGAGAUGAGUUCUCCCUGAGACUUUAAGUCUCCUGAAGGAACGUUGAAGACGACGACGUUGAUAGGUCGGGUGUGUAAGCGCAGCGAUGCGUUGAGCUAACCGAUACUAAUGAACCGUGAGGCUUAACCUU